UCUCUAAUGGCUAACGAAGAACUCACUGAGUCAC
This 34-nucleotide small RNA is filed under the name Arabidopsis thaliana (thale cress). Its description in RNAcentral is "ATSL254460". Lineage: Eukaryota; Viridiplantae; Streptophyta; Magnoliopsida; Brassicales; Brassicaceae. The record is from RNAcentral.